RNAcentral lists this ribosomal RNA (1380 nucleotides) under metagenome. RNAcentral's name for it is "bacterial LSU rRNA". It matches the Rfam family "Bacterial large subunit ribosomal RNA", at positions 1563 to 2925 of the family's 2925-position model. The record is from RNAcentral.
UUGACGAGUCGUCUUUUAGAUGACGAAGUGGUUGAUGCCAUGCUUCCAAGAAAAGCUUCUAAGCUUCAGGUAACCAGGAACCGUACCCCAAACCGACACAGGUGGUCGGGUAGAGGAUACCAAGGCGCUUGAGAGAACUCGGGUGAAGGAACUAGGCAAAAUGGCACCGUAACUUCGGGAGAAGGUGCGCCGGCUAGGGUGAAGGAUUUACUCCGUAAGCUCUGGCUGGUCGAAGAUACCAGGCCGCUGCGACUGUUUAUUAAAAACACAGCACUCUGCAAACACGAAAGUGGACGUAUAGGGUGUGACGCCUGCCCGGUGCCGGAAGGUUAAUUGAUGGGGUUAGCGCAAGCGAAGCUCUUGAUCGAAGCCCCGGUAAACGGCGGCCGUAACAAUAACGGUCCUAAGGUAGCGAAAUUCCUUGUCGGGUAAGUUCCGACCUGCACGAAUGGCGUAACGAUGGCGGCGCUGUCUCCACCCGAGACUCAGUGAAAUUGAAAUCGCUGUGAAGAUGCAGUGUAUCCGCGGCUAGACGGGAAGACCCCGUGAACCUUUACUGUAGCUUUGCACUGGACUUUGAGCCUGCUUGUGUAGGAUAGGUGGGAGGCUUUGAAGCGUGGACGCCAGUUCGCGUGGAGCCAUCCUUGAAAUACCACCCUGGCAUGCUUGAGGUUCUAACUCUGGUCCGUAAUCCGGAUCGAGGACAGUGUAUGGUGGGCAGUUUGACUGGGGCGGUCUCCUCCUAAAGAGUAACGGAGGAGUACGAAGGUGCGCUCAGACCGGUCGGAAAUCGGUCGCAGAGUAUAAAGGCAAAAGCGCGCUUGACUGCGAGACAGACACGUCGAGCAGGUACGAAAGUAGGUCUUAGUGAUCCGGUGGUUCUGUAUGGAAGGGCCAUCGCUCAACGGAUAAAAGGUACUCCGGGAUAACAGGCUGAUACCGCCCAAGAGUUCAUAUCGACGGCGGUGUUUGGCACCUCGAUGUCGGCUCAUCACAUCCUGGGGCUGAAGCCGGUCCCAAGGGUAUGGCUGUUCGCCAUUUAAAGUGGUACGCGAGCUGGGUUUAGAACGUCGUGAGACAGUUCGGUCCCUAUCUGCCGUGGACGUUUGAGAUUUGAGAGGGGCUGCUCCUAGUACGAGAGGACCGGAGUGGACGAACCUCUGGUGUUCCGGUUGUCACGCCAGUGGCAUUGCCGGGUAGCUAUGUUCGGAAAAGAUAACCGCUGAAAGCAUCUAAGCGGGAAACUUGCCUCAAGAUGAGAUCUCACUGGGAACUUGAUUCCCCUGAAGGGCCGUCGAAGACUACGACGUUGAUAGGCUGGGUGUGUAAGCGUUGUGAGGCGUUGAGCUAACCAGUACUAAUUGCCCGUGAGGCUUGAUC